GUGCUCGCUUCGGCAGCACAUAUACUAAAAUUGGAACGAUACGGAGAAGAUUAGCAUGGCCCCUGCGCAAGGAUGAAAGAAAUCCACAGUGCAGCCUUCUGUUUCA
Molecule: small nuclear RNA, 106 nt
Filed under: Castor canadensis (American beaver)
Lineage: Eukaryota; Metazoa; Chordata; Mammalia; Rodentia; Castoridae
Source: RNAcentral